Molecule: small RNA, 46 nt
Filed under: Caldithrix abyssi DSM 13497
Lineage: Bacteria; Pseudomonadati; Calditrichota; Calditrichia; Calditrichales; Calditrichaceae
Description: Acido-Lenti-1 RNA
Rfam family: Acido-Lenti-1 RNA
Source: Rfam by way of RNAcentral
CCCGCCGUUGAAACGGCGGGCUAUUUUCAAUCGUCCCUCCGGGACU